ACUUCCCCCCCGCCCCUGCCAAAGAGUGGUUUCUUUUUAUAAACAUUACACGUGUGUGCGUGUACGCUCUGACCAGACAAUCAGUUUCCAAUCGGAUCUUCUCGUGUGCGUAAGUGCGUAUCGUGAAAGUGCUAAGAGACUAAAGUGAAGUUGAAGUGACCAAUUGUUGUGAUGUGCGGAACCCAAGUGACAUAGCAAGAUUUUUAUUUAUUCAUGCAAGAACAAAUUUAGAUCAGAGGCUAAAAAUAAGUACUUAUAUGUAAUAUAGAGAGAUUUUAAAUAUUUGUGGGUGUUUUAUUCAGAGAAGUUUUUUCCAGGGAGUCGUGUGAUUAGACCCCACUUGAAUGUAUUAGAAGGCACAAAUGCUUUUUUCGUAAAAUUCGGUCGUAACAGUAAACUUUCGUGAUGAACGUACUAGUUAAUAUGUCACCAGAACAGGUUAUUUUUAAUUCCGGGUAACGAAUGUAGAAAUUAAGAAUUUCAUAUCUCAAAUUACACCAUAGAGGCUACUUCAAUUAUUGAUAAAUACACCAAAUUAAAACAAGAUUUACAGUAUUAUUAACUUAAAGAACAACAGCAAUUACGUCCAUAUAGGCAUAAAACAUAAUCUUUGUAAUGAUAAAGUGCUAACCGAAUUAUUGAAUAUUAUGUGGACGAACUUCGGCGUUGUAGUGUUAAAUAUGGUGUUCGUGACCUGUUUGAAGCUACCAUUCCUACAUCUACUUGGAGAGACUGAGAAAAUACACGAAAGAAACUAAACUUAACCGGUAAGCUGCUCGAGAUUCUAAUUGCGAACCUCCAGAGUACAAGUCCAGAACGUACCUUCACAGCAUCCAGUUCGGUGGAAGAACGUAAAUAUCAUCUGUAUGUGACACGAACCGGCGAGAAGAAGAGGCACAGAUAUUGAGGAGGUUCCCCGCACUGCUCUGUCAUCGCGUUCAUCAAUUCCUCCAUUCCUCCUCGAAAGGUCCGCUCCACCUGAAGACGUGUCAAGAAAAUAAAUCUUCGUUAGAGCAAAAACGACGUAACUGCAGAAUUAGAUGUUCGGAGCCAACAGAACAGAGACAGCCGCAGACGGCGCCACAAGCGGCAAUCGUCCGGUUCCGAGGGACCACGUGUGGCGGGCACAGGGUGGGGGAUCGCCGCGACGCUGCUAGACGCUGAGUCGGAGUCCUCUCCGGGACGAAAGCUCCGCCCCUACCGAGCUAGGACGCAACGCUGGGAGCAAAUAUGGCGACCCCCGUCGGGAGCCAGACAAGUCAGGAUAACCUUUACAUCUGCAGCUUAUAAGAUCACGCAGAAAUAAAGAAGAAACGAACAUCAGCAGUAUCAUCAAUUCAACAUGGCGGCAACAUCCAAGUGGGAAGGAAGACGAAGAAGACUAAAAGCUCUUUUCUGCUUCGUCCGUUCCUUUUCAGUCGGAACAUCCUUCAGCUCCCUUCCACUACUUCCUCCCCCAACCCACCUUCCCUCCUCAUCUCUUCUCUCCCCUCCACUUUAGAGCAUUGAUCCCCCCUCCACCCGUUUGCAAGGUACGACGCGGCUCAGCCCUCUGAAGUUCGUUCAAUACUUCUUCCAGACGCCAGGAGCGGCAAGAUGGACGCAGAGCGCCGAGGCGAGAUGAUAAGAAAGAAACCUCAAACAAACAUUUACAAACACUUUCUUAGACGAAAUUCCUCUCUACGCGCUCGGGGUGACACUUUCUGAAACAUGAAAGACUACGCACUCCGACACGUAACUUUAUGAAAUCUAUGGUGAUAAUUUAAAUUUGUGUUCCGGGUUACAACAUCUUGCAGUAUCGCAUGUGGUUACUAAAUAUUUCACAAAAACCUGCUGCCUCCGUCACUGGGGUGUUAUAACCCGAAAGGCCACAACAUAGAAUCAGUUUCUUAGUUCUUUUUGUAGGGUUGUGGGGGAGAACAUGGUUUACCUUUUUAUUAUUCAGUUUUCCAAUAAGUUUUAUUACAAAAAUCCUCAGUCAAGGUAGACUAUCUCCGGGCAGACUUGAACUCAAGAUCCCCCAAAUAUUAAACAGAACUGAUAAUCAUAAUAAUUAAGAAAGAGUAGUUUUAACUUAUUAUGAAGUGGUAUCUGGAUUUUCUUUUCGGAAAUGAGGAACACCACUAAUAAACAGGAUAUCCUAUCUCCGAGCCAAGAUUCCGCACAAUGUCCUAUCGAAUAAAAGGUUUAAGCGAGGCUACUACACGUUAUUGAUGCUGAAGUCAUUUUAAUGUUAAUCAGAACAAGCGGUAAGUGAUAAUCGGUUAAACACGCUUGAGGGAAUCGAGAAACAUACGUAAGUUUAGCCGGUGACGCUAAUGGGAAGGGACCUGUUAGGAUACCAGGGCGCAAUGGUAGAAUAAUAAGUUUUCUAAAGUGAAAUAUACUGCUAGCUGUGUGCUGGAUUCAACUGGCUCAGAACAGGGCACAAUGGGGGUUUCUUUUCCACCUGAGCACCGUUGAACGAUUCACCAGCGCCACAGGCCUAUAAAGUGAAAUGCAGCAGCAAUUAGAGUUUAUCUCUUAAUGCGACUCAGAGAAAGAAAGUGGGAGUUAUGGAUGAAUAUGAGAUAUUAGAGCCCUCUCACACACUAAAAUGCUUCAUAAUCAGGCGCAACUGUUUCAACCCUUAUUUCACACCCCUUAAUUUGAUAAAAUAAAGGUAAGUUACGAGUAGGUAUAAACAGUAUAAUUUGAUUUUAAAUCUACAUUUUGAUUUAUAUUUUCCAGCCGGUUUGUGUAAAUGAUUCGUCUGAUUUUAUAAGCAAACGGUUUGAUAUAUGAAUAUUUAUUUUCCGCUUGGUUGUAAAUCAUAGAGACUUGCUUAAAGCAAGUGCGCAGAGAGCAGUUAAGGUGGGAAAGAAGCAGAAGCAGUGAGGGAGGGGGAGGGGGAACAUUAAAACCACGUCACGUACUGGCUUUCCUACAGUCUCCAAAAAUUAUGGUUGAAAAAUUGCAGUCUCAGAAUUUUAAGAGGUUUUUAGUUACGACAUGAGCUGGUAACUGCUCAUGCAUUUGUACCUCGGAGGGUUUUAACCGAAAUUUAUGGGUAAUUACAAAUUCCAAGUCGAGAAAAACAGUAUGUAGCCUGGUCUAAAACCUUACUUAUGAACGGCUGAGAACAUUGAAAAGGGAUUACUAUUAACAAGUGCCACAACAGUAAUUAUCUUCAACUACUUUAAAUUAACUUUAUCGAUAUAAUUUAUCCUCUCCAUACAGAAAAUUUCAGUUGAGAGAAACGCUCUUGCUUAACAAAAGAUGCCACGAAACAAAUUUUCAUUAACUUCGUUUACUCUUUGCUUCUUUGUUUUAUAUUUUGAGAUUUUCAUCAGAAAUACACUUUUUUCUUCAGUGCCACAAAACACAAAUUUUCUUCAACUACUUUUAUUCUUUAUUUCACUCAGUCACUGACGAGAUUUCCAACAUUAGAACGUCUCUUGUUAUAUUUUCAUUACAGAUUAUGAAUUUAUUUUGUGGGUGGGAAAAUGCCAUUCUUAAUCUCAAAGUGACGUCAAACCCAGUUUCUUUUCACAGAUAACGUAAAACACAAAAAAUAAUUUCGGAAAGAAAGACUGAUUUCAAGGAGACAUAUGUCAUUCGUAACACGAAUAUAUCUAACGAUACAUAACGAUAUGAAACUGAAUAACAAAUUGCUGAGGAUUUGAACUGGCUUCUUUGAAUAUAGGCUGUUAUCCUGUCAGUAAUGUCUUUAGGCCUAUCUCAUAGGCCUACAGAAAUACGCAUAAGAAGUGAACAACAUUUAUUAAUAUAAACAACUAUUGUCGUUAAACUGCACAGUCUACACAGAAGGUUGAAUCCACACUAUUCCUCUUUGUCCCACUUCAAUAUUGUCCUCCAGUCGACGGACAGAUCGCGUAAGUGUUAUUUUAACUUGAGAUUUUCGAAAUCAAAAUUUAUAUGCAUUUUUCAUCUUCAGCAUUAGUUCUAAAUGUCCUGACCAUCUCUUCAAUCUUGACUGCUUACCACAAUACAGAUGAAGGGUACAAUUUAUAAAACUCCACUUAAUUCUUUAAAACACAGUGGUAACUAUAUAUACCACAUAAUUUAAGAAAAAAUAAAUCUGUAUUUUGCCCACGCGGCGUAUUUAUGAGUUUCAUACGAUUUUCAGAAUAAACAAAAUAAUUUACUUAAGCAACAUUAAUCAUCUCAUCCUUGUAACGGAGAUGCUUUGUGUUUUCUUUGAAGUACGGACUGAAUUAUUAAAUAUUAUUUAGAUGAGCUUGGAUUCAAAUGGUUGAACAGUUUAAACGACAAGAUGAGUUUUAAUACGACGUCGCAAAUGUUGCAUUCAUAAAGACUAUACAGUUCUUAAGACAGGCCUUCGUUUUAAUGCUCGAAAAAAUAAGUAUCAUACUUUUAAAUUCCAACGAAGUUUGAAGCUGCCGUAAAAUUAGCAUAAUCUUAUUCUUUUCUAGUCUUCAAGUUAUGGAACUGAAACAGCUUAAUAUCUACAAGAGGUUCUGAGUAAAAUGUUGUAGAACUACUUCCUGUGGCGCAUUAAGCUGAUAAGUCUGACGCUGACUUCCCCUUAUCCAAGUUCAAGUCACAGGGAUUAUGGCACCAAGAGAAAGAACAUUCUACGUCGAGCUUGUCUUCCAAACUGUCUGUCUGUCCUCGACCUUAAGAUCGCAGGACCAGACCAUGCUAGACAUAUUCGAGUCUCAUCCAAUAUUUUGUAUUAAUAGAUAAUAAUUAAGGGAUUAACAAAUCUAUUAACUAGCCAAGUAGCUGACGUAACUAACCUUCCGACUGUAGUUUGUGAUCACAGUGUGUGAUUUACAUGGAAGAAUUUUCUUUGAGAUACUGCCUGUGUAAAAUGAAUUUGCGACGUUGCGAGUGAAAAAUCUCUCCGUCUUCAGGUAGAAGGGAAGUAAACGCCUGUGAUUCCCGUUAAAUCAAUCUUGUUCUAGUAACAAAGAAUAUUUUCAUCUAUUGGGACCAAUAAAGCAUAUACAUUAUCACUUCACCUGAAAUGAAAUAUUGUGCCAGCCUCUAAAACUUCGUGUAUUCACACUCGUUAAGUUAGCAGUCCGUCUACAAAACAAUUCUUAUUACAGUUUCAAUGUUUAUUAAAAAUCCACCACAUAUAUCGACCUUAAUUGGCCAUCUUCGUAUAUAUGUUCCAUUCAGACAAUGCGUAAAGAAAACGCUGCCAUGUUGAAACAAAUAUGAGCUUUAGGCUGUGUGGGACUUCUGCAAGCAAACAGCAGAGGAAAUAAAGCGACACGUUGAUGUAGACUGUUUUUUUUCUUCUGAGUAGCAAGCCUAUAUUUAUUACCCUUCUUGGUAAUAAAUUAUUUGCACCCGAAAUGACUUAUUAGUUCGUAGGUCUUAAUUUGGCAUUAGCAAUGUUGAACCUCCGGAUUCAUAUACCAGAUAUUUUAAUUGAUAAAUUCAAUACUUACUAAGUCAUUAAAUUAUGGUUUCUUAAUAAAUUACUCAAUAUCUUCACCCGUUUAAUUAAUCACUGUUUCGUCAGUUAGUUAAUCAGACAAUUAUAUAACUUAAGUCAAACAAUCAAUCAAUAACUUAAUUAUUUACUUAGUUACUUCGUAAAUAAGUUACCAAGAAAACUACAAGUCAGAUGAUAAUUUAGUUAGCCAAUUAAUUGCAGAUCUGCGACCUAAGAAAUUAACUACCAGCAGUUAAUUAUUUAGACUUACAUAUAAUUAACAGUUUUUUACCAAUGAAUUACUUAGGACUAAUUGGCUAGUUAAUCAUUCAGUUAACUAGUUAAUCACCCAAAUGUUCCGAUAAUUAGUUAAUGACAUAGAUGGAGAAAAAUGAUUUAACACUUAGUUCGUCAGUUAAUUAUUAUAUGUCAGUCUAUUAUAUAACCGACUGAUUAAUCAAUAAGUUGGUUAAGUAUUACUGAUGCCUAUUCUUGAAGUGCUUAAGUAACAAGAAGGCUACGUCUCAGUUAUUCCGACUUGUGUGAUGUCCAGCACGUGUGCUCGUCAGUUAGUUAGCCAUAAACGGACGCAGAGUUCUACACACCUACUCAGGCACCGAGGGGUUGAUCACGUAUGCAGAACCGGGACACGUAAAAGAGGAUAGAGCAAGUAGUUCGCAGUGGCGUCUUGCUAAUCCUUGGAUCUUGUUGCCAGCGGGAGCUAAGCUCCUCUUCGGAAGAAGAGAGAAGAUACAGAGAAACUGAAACAAGCGAAGGGUGUGGGAGGGACGGUAAUUCUGGCGAAUAGCCUGACAUCGCCAAUACCAACAGAAGACGGCCUGCAGACGCGGAGUAUCUAAGGACAACCGACAACAUAUGAUCCUUUAUCGUGGGGAUGGACGUCGGUAUAAAUUCCACAAACAUACAAAAAUUUAGUAGAAAUUUCUCAUAUUACGAAGAUUUCUGUCUUCUGGGUUGUUGCAUCGUGUAGUAUAAAUUGCCCUGAUGACGGAGGCAGUAUGACCUCUGAAACGUUGGUUAACAUCGACCAGACUACACAGCGCAACAACCCAGAAGACAGAAAUCUUCAUACCAACCGCUGUGAAAACCUCAAAUCAUUCUCAUAUUACCUUAGACUUAGAUUCUAUGAUAACAUAUAAGCAAUAAUAAUACUACAUUUAUAACUUUGAAAUACUGUAAUGAAGAUUCCUACAAUAC
Zootermopsis nevadensis is the source of this 6631-nucleotide long non-coding RNA. RefSeq lists it as uncharacterized. The record is from RefSeq and is a predicted model, not a curated record. Lineage: Eukaryota; Metazoa; Arthropoda; Insecta; Blattodea; Termopsidae.